Molecule: microRNA, 21 nt
Filed under: Oryza sativa (Asian cultivated rice)
Lineage: Eukaryota; Viridiplantae; Streptophyta; Magnoliopsida; Poales; Poaceae
Description: osa-miR168b
Gene: osa-miR168b
Source: miRBase by way of RNAcentral
AGGCUUGGUGCAGCUCGGGAA